Molecule: long non-coding RNA, 248 nt
Organism: Talpa occidentalis (Iberian mole)
Lineage: Eukaryota; Metazoa; Chordata; Mammalia; Eulipotyphla; Talpidae
Exons: 3
Source: RefSeq, a predicted model, not a curated record
UUCACCCAAUGGGCAAUCUAGAAGUCCUAGAUUGCCGGUGUGGAAGAAGGGCCCAAUUCUACAUAUCACCCAUUGUGGAGGAGAGAUGCCAACUAAUGAGUUGCAACUCAACCUGUACUCUUCACAUGGUGACAGAAGAAAAACAACAAAAAUAAUCACCCUUACAGUGGACUCUACAGAUUAUCCCAAGAACCAAGGUGGUGGUAUGAAAGGCACUGGCGAGUUCUUUGUGAGUACUGAACCAUGAA